CCGAAUGGUGAAAAGGGGAAAAUUACUGCAUUGUGAUCAUUAAGGAUUCUCCAACCAUGUUCUGGGCAGAAUUAGCACAGAAAGGUUUGGUAGGAUUUCACUGGCCACCAGCAUCAUGACCAUCAGGGCAGUUCAUCAAAACAUUUAAAUCAAAGAGCAAGACGAUGUGAAACAAAUACUGGCAAAACCUCCCACCUUGGUGUUCUUUUAUAAACUGGUCUAACUUGUUAUAAUGGUACAUUUGACCUCAAGCCUUUGAAACUAACAAGCCGGGGUUUACGGCCAGCAGGGAGGACUGCAAAUACAGGCCUUGCCUUAAAAUUCCCGGUUGUGUCUGCCCAGGAGCUGUUGGCACCACAUAGACGGGGCGGGCUGGGUGCCAGAGCGGCCUGCCUGUUCCCGGCUACAGAUUAUGAUGUCUGUGCAGCUGCCUUUCAUUCACAGCUUCCCUGAAUGGUGCCAAAGUUAAUUCCUCCAGGAAUAGCCCCACCAGUCACAAGGAAGGGGGGUAAUGCCCAGGAUGCCCCCUUCAUUCUCACUCCUGGUGCGGGCUUGCUGCCAUCAACAGCCAAAGGGAGAAGUCAGGCAGCAGAAAAGCUUGGGAGGCCCUGGAAACCCCCUAAGCUUCUCCACAACAGUGCCGGUCUUAUCUGUUGCAGCCACGGCGAGAGUCCCACAUCAUCCAUGUGAAGCAGCUCUAUUAGCAGGUGUCUGAAGAAGGUUGCAGGUGCGAGCAGGUAGAAGGAAAGCACACAGAAGCUGCGGGAUGCACACACAAAAUGGGUAAAAGGGAUCCCUGGAGGUCUGGGCAGAGCACCAGGAGUGUCCUGGGGUGCUCUUACCCUCCUAUUGGACAGAUGAGUAAAGUGAGGUACAGGGACAUUAAGUAACUUGCCCAACAUUAAAGAGCUUUAGUUUGGAUGCCUUGAUUUGGAACUUCUGGCCACUAGAACUGUGAGAGAAUAAAAUGUGUUGUUCUAGGCCACCCUGCCAGUGGUACUUUAUUACAGCAGCCACUGAAAACUCAGGCAGGAGGGAUCUGUGGUGACGGACUUGGAGGCGUGGUUGCAAGGGUUGUUUCACUGAACAGACACAGCAGGGGCAGCUGCUGGGGUAUUGAGGUCGAGGUCAAACACGGUCACUGCUGGAGCAAUUCUGUAAUCAGCCAUGGUUAGCUGAAACCUCAUUCUCUAUGCAAACCCCAAAUGGCUGUUUUCCCUUUUGAACCUCAAGAACACACGCUAGAAAUCAGUGCUCCCUGUCAGCCAGCCUCUUAUGGUGAGAUUUCCAGGUCUGGUGGCUUAUUGCACCAAUAAGCUAAUAAGGAGAUUGGCAAUGCCAAACACACAUCAGGGAGCAUCUGUCCUCCCACUGUGCACCCCUGUUCCAGGUCACUAGGCUUGAGAAGUCACCCAGAACACAGGAAACCCAGUGGCCUGCCAGACUUGCAGCCCAGGGAGAGGGAAACUGGGUGUCUUGGAAACUCCUCCCUGCUCCUUCAAGUUCACUCAUAGCAGGGAAGCCAGGGCCCCUUGAGUCCCUAGAGUAGUCAAAUUCACAGAGACAGAAAGUAGAACGGGAGUCGCCAAGGCCUGUGGGGAGAGGGAAGGUGAAGUUGUUUAAUUGGCACAGUUUCCAUUUUGGAAGAUGGAAAAAAGGUCUGGAGAUGGAUGCUGGUGAUGGCAGCGUAACACUGAGAAUGGUUUUUUUGUUGUUGUUUUUAUUGUAUUGUAUUGUAUUGUAUUGUAUUGUAUUGUAUUGUAUUGUAUUGUAUUGUAUUGUAUUGUAUUGAGACAGAGCCUCACUCUGUCUCCCAGACUGGGGUGCAGUGACACAGUCUCGGCUCACUACAACCUCCGCCUCCCGGGUUCAAGCGAUUCUCUUGCCUCAGUCUCCCAAGUAGCUGGCAUUACAGGCACCCGCCACC
RNAcentral lists this long non-coding RNA (1927 nucleotides) under Homo sapiens (human). RNAcentral describes it as "HSALNT0272700". The record is from RNAcentral. Lineage: Eukaryota; Metazoa; Chordata; Mammalia; Primates; Hominidae.